UAAAAAUAAUCAUGGAGUCUUGCCCAAUGGGCAGGACAAUACCGCUGAAUUGCUGUGAUCAACGAAUUGUUGUACCAGCAGCCCGUAACAGGGCCCACAGAUCAAGCCGCGGUGGUUCCACAUAGAAAAUAAUUAGGCAGAACUUUAAUAUGACCGGUCUCGCCUGUGACGGAUGAGGUGUAAGUUCCGUAGUGAACCUGCGGAAGAUCAUUACGAGUUAGGGUAUCUGGGCCUCACUCAACCCUUUGCUUACUCUACCAUGUUGCUUGGCGGGCCGCCUUUCGGGGGCCGCCGGGGGCUUUACUGCCUCUGGCCUGUGCCYGCCAGUAGCCCUCUCAAAUUCGUUUUAAUUGUGUUGUCUKAGUAYAAAUAUAAAUCGUUUUUAAAACUUUCAACAACGGAUCUCUUGGUUCUGGCAUCGAUGAAGAACGCAGCGAAAUGCGAUAAGUAAUGCGAAUUGCAGAAUUCAGUGAGUCAUCGAAUCUUUGAACGCAUAUUGCGCCCUUUGGUAUUCCGAAGGGCAUGCCUGUUCGAGCGUCAUUAUCAACCAUCAAGCCUGGCUUGUCGUUGGACUUUUUUUGUYGCUCAUGYGACAGGUCCGAAAGAYAAUGAACGGUGUCAUGRUGGCCCUAAAUGCAACGAGCUUUUUACRGCACGCAUCUAGUGGUUAGCAGGCCCGGUCUUAAYCCUUAAUUUUUCAAGGUUGACCUCGGAUCAGGUAGGAAUACCCGCUGAACUUAAGCAUAUCAAUAAGCGGAGGA
This 761-nucleotide ribosomal RNA is filed under the name uncultured fungus. Its description in RNAcentral is "eukaryotic LSU rRNA". The stretch from base 387 to 540 matches the Rfam family "5.8S ribosomal RNA". Lineage: Eukaryota; Fungi. The record is from RNAcentral.